RNAcentral lists this small nuclear RNA (170 nucleotides) under Hucho hucho (huchen). Its description in RNAcentral is "U1 spliceosomal RNA (ENSHHUG00000040827.1)". It matches the Rfam family "U1 spliceosomal RNA". Rfam says of the family: U1 is a small nuclear RNA (snRNA) component of the spliceosome (involved in pre-mRNA splicing). Its 5' end forms complementary base pairs with the 5' splice junction, thus defining the 5' donor site of an intron. There are significant differences in sequence and secondary structure between metazoan and yeast U1 snRNAs, the latter being much longer (568 nucleotides as compared to 164 nucleotides in human). The record is from RNAcentral. Lineage: Eukaryota; Metazoa; Chordata; Actinopteri; Salmoniformes; Salmonidae.
UUACAGUACCUGGCAGGGGAGACACCUUGAUCACGAAGGAGGUAGGUACACUCAGGGCGAGGUUUGGCCAUUGCACUCUGGAUGAGCUGAUCCCUCGAAUUCCUCAGAUGUGGGAAUCUCUACUGCAUAAUUUGUGGUAGUGGGGGACUGUGUCCGCACUCAUACACCAC